RNAcentral lists this ribosomal RNA (450 nucleotides) under uncultured bacterium. RNAcentral's name for it is "partial 16S ribosomal RNA". It matches the Rfam family "Bacterial small subunit ribosomal RNA", at positions 354 to 796 of the family's 1533-position model. The record is from RNAcentral.
GUGGGGAAUUUUGGACAAUGGGCGCAAGCCUGAUCCAGCAAUGCCGCGUGCAGGAAGAAGGCCUUCGGGUUGUAAACUGCUUUUGUACGGAACGAAACGGUCCUGGCUAAUAUCCGGGGCUAAUGACGGUACCGUAAGAAUAAGCACCGGCUAACUACGUGCCAGCAGCCGCGGUAAUACGUAGGGUGCGAGCGUUAAUCGGAAUUACUGGGCGUAAAGCGUGCGCAGGCGGUGCUGUAAGACAGGCGUGAAAUCCCCGGGCUCAACCUGGGAAUUGCGCUUGUGACUGCAGGGCUGGAGUGCGGCAGAGGGGGAUGGAAUUCCGCGUGUAGCAGUGAAAUGCGUAGAUAUGCGGAGGAACACCGAUGGCGAAGGCAAUCCCCUGGGCCUGCACUGACGCUCAUGCACGAAAGCGUGGGGAGCAAACAGGAUUAGAUACCCUAGUAGUCC